Molecule: long non-coding RNA, 533 nt
Organism: Harmonia axyridis
Lineage: Eukaryota; Metazoa; Arthropoda; Insecta; Coleoptera; Coccinellidae
Exons: 2
Source: RefSeq, a predicted model, not a curated record
UUAUCAAGUUACCCACAAACCGAGAUUGGAAAGUACUGUCAAAUUGUUAUGAAACAGGCGGAAAACUAAGUUUUAAUUUUUCCAUAUAAAGUUAUCCAUCCCAAUCUGCAGUCAUUUCGACAAUAAAAUUCAAGAUGAAUUUCAGACAAGCUUUGUUUAUCGCUGUGAUUUUGGCAUGUUUGGGUGUGUCUAUGGCCCAGCCUAAGUAUGGCAGAAUAAUAUCAAUCAGCAGUGUAUUCAAAAAGAUUCGUCGAUUUUUCUGCGGCGUUGCCUUGCCUUUAGUGAAACCAUUACUAAGGAUGAUCAAGGUUGAUAUUUUUGCAGACCUCAUCUGUAGCAACAACGACUGAUAAAGAUAAUAAUUAAUGUUAAUAAUCUUAACUUAUCUUCUUCUUCUUAGAAGAAUCUUAACUUAUCUCAAUCAUAGAAUGAUAUUUGAUUAUAUAAUGGCAAUAUCAAUGAUUUGAAUCAUUUACUUAUGUGUUUGUUUUGUUUGUUGAAACGUCAUGUUAAUUAUUAAAAUAUUCUUCUAA